UUAGAUAAACAAGGAGAUUUGGAAAGGAACUUUGUAACUGGAUUUAACAUGGAUAUCAGUGCAUGUAUCAACAAGUAACUCUACUAUUAACGAAUUGAAAUUUAAAUUGAAAAAUAAAUCUCUUGGAAAUAGAACAUAUCCCAGGCCUGGUGGACCAUGUGGUAAUCCCGUCCUGUCUCCAAACCUAUGGAUUGGGGUACAGUUAAGAUUUAAUUCACGAAAACGUCGACAACCCCAAAAGUAAGUCUUUAAUUUGCACUAACCUUGGAACUGGCGAGGAAGUGGACUGUAUCUCGUGUGUAGAAGUUACUGCUGACGAUAUCCUGUCUUUAUGCGUAGGCCUAUAUGAUAUUGCACAUAUAUCACGAAACGAAACGAGGUAAUUGCGUUCAGCUCGAACGCCACGGAAACAGGAGACACGGAACGAAAAAGAUGUUGACUUCUCGACAACGCUUCUUGAAGUGGUGGUUAGAAAGAUAAACGGGGAGGAUGAAGGAGGGGUGAGGGAGAGAGGUUAUCUUGCCUCUUUGGGAGAGGGGGAAGGGGAGGAAAGCACAAACUAAAUCAACCCACAAUCAAGGCUGCCGAUCCUCCGUGAAUCCACCUAUGAGAAUGCCUUUGUAUCGAUAGUCGAUGGUAUCACACUACAGACAGUGCUACAGUUCAAGUACAGACGAAAGCGACAGACCACGUUGAAAAGUGUUGUUUGUUUUGAUUCAAGGAUUAUAUAAAGAGUCUACGACGAUUCGGUAUUCAUGGAUGUAACACAUUGGAAACACCGUAAUCGUAAGAACACAAAAUGGCGAACUUUUUAAGGUAUUUUCCUUACAUUUGAUUUUCAAACUUUUUCGAAGUUGUCAUUGAAAUGCCUCACCUUGUAGACGAAUCUCAACCUAGAUCACUUGAUCUUCGAACCAUUGUUGAUAAAAUAAUUUUCAGACAACAAGACAUCCUGUCUUUAGAAUUGAAGAAUGUAGAUUUGGAGUUCGCCACAACAGACACUUUGAUAAGUCGGUGCAAUGGCGGUGGACAACGUGAAUUGGAGCCAUGGUAAGAUCCUGACUGCAAUGGUGACAAAGUCGAAAGAGGCUAUAAUGAACUUAGGGUUGGAUAUGCAUUGGGAUAGUCACAAAAAAUGAACAGAUGGGGGGUACAUCGACAUUUGACAAAGACAAGGUGGGGUACACUACGCAAAUCCAGAGAUGAGACUUGACAGAGUUCAAGGAGGCUGAAGCUCGCACAACUAAAAUUGCCAAUUGAAGUCGCCCAGGUAACUAUCAAAUAUACGAUCGAGUAUUCAGAGGGCAGCAGAAGAAUUCUAAAAAGAAUUUGAAGCUGACAAAACCAGCAGAUGAUCAAAUUUAGUCGACUACUGUGUCCUCUGCCUGCAAUGAUACUGAGUCUGAGCAGAGCAAGGGGUCUAAGGCAUCAAAAAAAAGACCAAGGAGGUUAAUCCAGGUGGCAAGAUUUGAACCCCAAUGCCAAGGAAUUUGUCUAUAACGAUCCUCUGGGAACUCCAUAGACUCAUGCAAUGUUCAGAAUGCCUUAUUCGCCUAAGUGCAAUAAUCUAUGUUUCGGAAUCAGAAUGAAUGUGUUCUGAAGACUAUUUUGAAAGAAAUGAUUUGCUUAUAAUAUUUACUGUUCCAUUCAAAUGAUGGAAUUUGCUGUAAGCAUAUUUUUUGUUUUAGAUUUUAUGUUUUUUUAACUUGGUGUUGUUUAAAGCUAAAAAUAAAGUGUUUUUCAAAAACAAGUGCAUUGUUAUCAGGCCUACCUGUAAAUCUUCAUGAGAUAGAGCGCUCUACCUGUCUUAUCUACAAUCUUAUGAUGCUAUUCUAAAUAUACCAAAAAACAGUUUGAAGAUGAGUAAACCAAUUGUCCUAUUUUUCCUACCAUGACUAUUUUUGUAUAUUAAAGAAAAACGUUUAAAAACGUC
This is a long non-coding RNA of Nilaparvata lugens (brown planthopper), 1933 nucleotides long. RefSeq lists it as uncharacterized. The record is from RefSeq and is a predicted model, not a curated record. NCBI's taxonomy places the organism in Eukaryota, Metazoa, Arthropoda, Insecta, Hemiptera, Delphacidae. The transcript has 2 exons.